UUGCCUACGGGGCGCAGCAGUGAGGAAUAUUGGUCAAUGGGCGGAAGCCUGAACCAGCCAAGUCGCGUGAGGGAAGAAGGCCCUGCGGGUCGCAGACCUCUUUGGACGGGGAGCAAGGCCGCCGACGUGUCGGCGGAAGGAGAGUACCCGUAGAACAAGCAUCGGCUAACUCCGUGCCAGCAGCCGCGGUAAUACGGAGGGUGCGAGCGUUAAUCGGAAUUACUGGGCGUAAAGCGCUCGUAGGCGGUAUGUCAAGUCAAGGGUGAAAUCCCCGCGCUCAACGUGGGAACUGCCUUUGAAACUGG
This 305-nucleotide ribosomal RNA is filed under the name uncultured bacterium. Its description in RNAcentral is "bacterial SSU rRNA". It matches the Rfam family "Bacterial small subunit ribosomal RNA", at positions 335 to 636 of the family's 1533-position model. The record is from RNAcentral.